GAUGAACGCUGGCGGCGUGCCUAAUACAUGCAAGUCGAGCGAACAGACGAGGAGCUUGCUCCCCUGACGUUAGCGGCGGACGGGUGAGUAACACGUGGAUAACCUACCUAUAAGACUGGGAUAACUUCGGGAAACCGGAGCUAAUACCGGAUAAUAUAUUGAACCGCAUGGUUCAAUAGUGAAAGACGGUUUUGCUGUCACUUAUAGAUGGAUCCGCGCCGCAUUAGCUAGUUGGUAAGGUAACGGCUUACCAAGGCAACGAUGCGUAGCCGACCUGAGAGGGUGAUCGGCCACACUGGAACUGAGACACGGUCCAGACUCCUACGGGAGGCAGCAGUAGGGAAUCUUCCGCAAUGGGCGAAAGCCUGACGGAGCAACGCCGCGUGAGUGAUGAAGGUCUUCGGGUCGUAAAACUCUGUUAUUAGGGAAGAACAAAUGUGUAAGUAACUAUGCACGUCUUGACGGUACCUAAUCAGAAAGCCACGGCUAACUACGUG
RNAcentral lists this ribosomal RNA (497 nucleotides) under uncultured bacterium. RNAcentral's name for it is "partial 16S ribosomal RNA". It matches the Rfam family "Bacterial small subunit ribosomal RNA", at positions 28 to 507 of the family's 1533-position model. The record is from RNAcentral.